UAAGGAAUAUUGGUCAAUGGACGAAAGUCUGAACCAGCCAUGCCGCGUGAGGGAUGAAGGUCCUCUGGAUUGUAAACCUCUUUUAUCUGUGAAUAAAUACCUGAUUUCUAUCGGGUUUGAAGGUAAUAGAUGAAUAAGCACCGGCUAACUCCGUGCCAGCAGCCGCGGUAAUACGGAGGGUGCAAGCGUUAUCCGGAUUUACUGGGUUUAAAGGGUGCGUAGGUGGGUUGGUAAGUCAGUGGUGAAAUACUUUCGCUUAACGAAGGAACUGCCAUUGAUACUACCAGUCUUGAAUACAGUGGAGGUAGGCGGAAUGCGUCAUGUAGCGGUGAAAUGCUUAGAUAUGACGCAGAACACCAAUUGCGAAGGCAGCUUGCUACACUGUUAUUGACACUGAGGCACGAAAGCGUGGGGAUCAAACAGGAUUAGAUACCCCGGUAGUCC
RNAcentral lists this ribosomal RNA (444 nucleotides) under uncultured bacterium. RNAcentral describes it as "bacterial SSU rRNA". It matches the Rfam family "Bacterial small subunit ribosomal RNA", at positions 355 to 796 of the family's 1533-position model. The record is from RNAcentral.